GAUCAUGGCUCAGGAUGAACGCUGGCGGCGUGCCUAACACAUGCAAGUCGAACGAAGCGAUUCAACGGAAAUUUUCGGAUGGAAGUUGAAUUGACUGAGUGGCGGACGGGUGAGUAACGCGUGGGUAACCUGCCUUGUACUGGGGGACAACAGUUAGAAAUGACUGCUAAUACCGCAUAAGCGCACAGUAUCGCAUGAUACAGUGUGAAAAACUCCGGUGGUACAAGAUGGACCCGCG
Molecule: ribosomal RNA, 238 nt
Filed under: uncultured bacterium
Lineage: Bacteria
Description: partial 16S ribosomal RNA
Rfam family: Bacterial small subunit ribosomal RNA
Source: RNAcentral